UACGUAGGCAGCGAGCGUUGUUCGGAGUUACUGGGCGUAAAGGGUGUGUAGGCGGUUCUUUUAAGUUUGGUGUGAAAUCUCCCGGCUCAACCGGGAGGGUGCGCCGAAUACUGAGGGACUAGAGUGCGGGAGAGGAAAGUGGAAUUCCUGGUGUAGCGGUGAAAUGCGUAGAUAUCAGGAGGAACACCGGUGGUGUAGACGGCUUUCUGGACCGUAACUGACGCUGAGACACGAAAGCGUGGGUAGCAAACAGG
Molecule: ribosomal RNA, 254 nt
Filed under: uncultured bacterium
Lineage: Bacteria
Description: partial 16S ribosomal RNA
Rfam family: Bacterial small subunit ribosomal RNA
Source: RNAcentral